This 77-nucleotide microRNA precursor is filed under the name Erinaceus europaeus (western European hedgehog). RNAcentral describes it as "mir-17 microRNA precursor family". It matches the Rfam family "mir-17 microRNA precursor family". Rfam says of the family: This family represents the microRNA (miRNA) precursor mir-17, family, which includes mir-20, mir-91, and mir-103. miRNAs are transcribed as ~70nt precursors (modelled here) and subsequently processed by the Dicer enzyme to give a ~22nt product. In this case the mature sequence comes from the 3' arm of the precursor. The extents of the hairpin precursors are not generally known and are estimated based on hairpin prediction. The record is from Rfam by way of RNAcentral. Lineage: Eukaryota; Metazoa; Chordata; Mammalia; Eulipotyphla; Erinaceidae.
AUUGUAGCACUAAAGUGCUUAUAGUGCAGGUAGUGUCUAGUUAUCUACUGCAUUAUGAGCACUUAAAGUACUGCUAG